CUCCACAUUUUCAUGCAUGGUGAGCGUCGAAAAUGCCUGCCAAUACUUUUGCAAAUAAGUAUGACAUAUUACGUUGCACAAAUACUCAGAAAGUCUAAACAAACGAGGAGGGGGGCAGCUACAAUACCUUGCAAUGGUAGUGCACAAAACACAAAAUAAAUGUCAAUUGCACAGCAUUAAAUGCGUAGAUGAAAUGAAUUGCCAC
Molecule: long non-coding RNA, 205 nt
Filed under: Elaeis guineensis (African oil palm)
Lineage: Eukaryota; Viridiplantae; Streptophyta; Magnoliopsida; Arecales; Arecaceae
Description: long non-coding RNA (EGUI_LNC001468)
Source: RNAcentral